GUGAUAUUGGAAUUUGUGAAAACGUACAUCGAUCUCAUACACAACCAGUGAGGUAGCUACCGUCUUCGUGGUUGGAAACGGGCACAACCCGUAUACCUUCAGAAACAAGGUAAUUUUCAACCUUGAUCUUGCUUUAUUCAAGAGAAACUAUUAAAAAAAAACAAGUAUGCUAUUGUUUUAAGGUUGUAAACGUCUACGCUUGAUCUAAAUCUCAAAUUGGUGGCACAGGAGGAGACCGCGGUGCAGGUUAACGUUAGGGAGCUAGUUGGCACACAAUCAGUUUUACAUGAGUCAACAUUUAAUAGCCAUGUGAGUUUCGAUUUAAAUUGUGAUCCAAACAUUUGCAUAGUUAGAAGCUAGUUAUUUCGGAUUUUUUAAAAUUUUUUAAUCACACCCAUUUGUUAGCUAGCUAUGCUAUCUGCCUGGGUUGUUUUGCUUGCUAGUUAGCUAAUGUUAGCUAACUAACUCACGAAGUUGUUCGGCGCGCAGUUUCAGACUUUCAAAAAUAUGCGCAUGCUGACAAUUUAGCACACUAGCAAUAUAACUGUGCAUACAUUUAAGUAGAUAUUGGUCCUGGGCACGGUGUUUCCCAUAACCAUCGUUAUUAACGUUGCACUUAAACGCUCGGAAUAGAACAGCUGUCAUUAUUUUUUUUGCCUUCCUGCGCCACUUUAUGUACAGAUCUCCGCUAAACAGCCCAAUAUUGGAUUAAAGGAGCAGGGCCGGUUCCAGGGAUAAACUGUCGCUUAAAGGCGUCCUCAUGCUUCCCAGUCAGAACAGUCGGGUUUAACGGCGGUUGGCAUCCAAUGUUAAUGGUGCAUUACCGCCACCAGCUGGAAAGGGUAUUGAAUAAACAACUAAAAAAACAUUGCGGGAAAGGGGGACGACAUCAUACAAAAACCCAUCCCACGUAUUCAAUCACAGUCCACUCCAAAAUACAUCCCUAUGGCAGUACAUUCACCAACAGGAUCUUUUGCACAGCCUCAGCUGUGAAAUCAUGGAGACCCCAAAAACCUCAAGCAGCAUUCAAUAAUUCCAAUUUUCUUAUUCUCCACUUGUGCUGUACAGUUUAUGACCAUUGCGAUAAAUAAUAAACUCCACAUUUUUCCAUGUAGUAUUUCACUAUCCCUCCAUUGAUGAGAACCCUUCAUUGGUCGUGGUGGCUCUACUAUCAUUGUUUCUUCCCCGUCACUUGUUGCUUCCAAUCUUUUCACUGCCUCCAGAUAAGAAACUCGCUGGACACUCCUUACCCUUGCCACCUCGUUCUCCUUCACCCUAACAGGGCACUCCAGGAAUUCAGGUGCAUGUUCACCUUCACAGUUGCAGCGUUUCACUUCAUCUGGCAUACAGUACUCUUCCCUUCUGCACACACUCGACACAUGACCAAAUCUUCCACAAUUAUGUUGCUGAAGGUGCUUGUGCACAAAAGCUCUUGCAGGGUAUCUCAUGAAUCCUAACAUAUGAGAAGGGAGAGACUCUUCAUCAAAGAACAUUAGCAUGGAAGAGGUUAAUGUAUUUUCUCCAUCCACCAUACAGGUCAGUUGACGUGCACCAACCACUCAAUCAAUGUCUUUAGUAAUAUCCUCUGCCUUGUUUUCUUGUGCCACCCCAAAUAGCCCCCUUGAUAGGCGCCCAGCUACGAAAAAGCUAUGAAAAAUCCAUACAGGAAGCAUUCCACGCCGAUAUCUUUGAGUCUUAACACUUCUGCUCUGCGGACACACAUCAAAAAUAAGACGACCACUUGUGACUCUCACCGACUACACUUCAACACAUUCCAGAUUUCCCAAGUAGCAUUGAUCCAAAACCACUACUCAAACUAAAAACUAGCCUGAUGGUUUCCAAUUUUGCUUCUCGUGUUCAUUUUUGUUCUCAAUUCUUUUUCACUUUUGGUACUAUUAGCUUCACCCGACACACUAGCCGUUUCAAACAAAAUCAGUUUGUCUUCUCCACGAUCAACGUCUACCAGCCAAAACAGUUCGGAGGAGUUUGUUCAUAUAUUGUGGCAUUGUUUUGGACUUCAGUAAGGGAUUUUGCACUGUUUGGGCACUUUUCUUGGGGUAAGCUGAAGUCUACACCCCUUCAUCAGUGAUUGGUCAACAGUAGGGAUUCUUAAAAAGUCAGUCAUUCAAUGAGAGUUGACUCAUGACUUUUUUGAGAUACUACAUCUUAGAUGUCAAAUUGCAUGACAGAUCCUCUGCAAAAACUCAUGUCAUUAAUUUUGAAGUUAACUUAGAUUAAUUGUGACUUGAGUUAGUGUAUACUGGCUACAGGAUCUCAAUUAAUAAACUGUACUAUUGCUGCUUUUUCCCCUUGUUUUUCAAGCGAAGGUCUUAUGGGAGUAUGCGAGCACACUCGUUCAGUUCGGCUGAAACAUGCUGACGCCUCAAUCUCCACACAAUACCCCAUAAUGACAAAGCAAAACAGGUUAUUUUAUAUGUGCAAAUUUCUUAACUUCAUACGGCUCAUUGGGACGCUAGCGUCUCACCUCGACAACAUCCUGUGAAAUUGCAGAGCGUGAAAUUCAAAUGACAGAAAUCGUAAUAUUAAACAUUCAUAAAAAUACAAGUGUCAUACAUCAUUUAAAAGCUUAACAUCUUGUUAAUCCAGCCGCGUUGUCAGAUUUCAAAAAGGCUUUACAGCGAAAGCACACCAUGCGAUUAUCUGAGGACAGCGCCCCGCACAGAAGCAUUACAUACAUUUUCCAACCAAGCAGGGGCGCCACAAGUCAGAAAUAGCGAUAAAAUAAAUCACUUACCUUUGAAGAUCUUCAUCUGGUUGCAAUCACAAGGGUCCCAGCUACAUAACAAAUGGUCCUUUUGUUCGAUAAAGUCCUAGUUUAUAUCCCCAAAAGGUCUGUUUCAUUGGCGCGCUAGACUCAGUAAUCCACCGGUUUCCCUCAUUCAAAAUGCAAACAAAUGAAUCCCGUAAGUUACCAAUAAACUUCUUCCAAACAUAUCAAACAACAUUCCUAAUCAAUCCUCAGGUAUCCUAAUAUGUAAAUAAGCGAUAAAAUUUAAGACAAAUAACGAAGUAUUCGCACUCACCGGAAUGCGCCACAAACACUACAGCCAAAAUGGGAGCCACUUACUAAAACUACAAAUUCUAGCAAAUUUUUCAAAAAACAUGCGUGAAACUCUUUCUAAAGACUUGACAUCUAGUGGAAGCCCAAGGAACUGCAAUCUGGGAGGUCUUCCUUUUUAUAUUCCCAUUGACAGCCAUAGUAAUCAAGGGUGAGCUGAAUUUUUUUUUUUUUUUUCUGGAUGGAUUGUCCUCGGGGUUUUGCCUGCCAUAUCAGUUCUGUUAUACUCAGACAUUAUUUGAACAGUUUGAAACUUUUAGUGUUUUCUAUGCAAUACUACCAAUUAUAUGCAUAUCCUAGCUUCUGGGCCUGAGUAACAGGCAGUUUACUUUGGGCACCUCAUUCAUCCAAACUUCCGAAUACUGCCCCCAAGCCUGAAGAAGUUAAAUAAAACAACUUUUACAUAAGUAUUCAGACCCUUUACUCAGCACUUUGAAGCACCUUUGGCAGCAAUUACAGCCUUGAGCCUUCUUGGGUAUGUAUUUGAGUUUCUCCCAUUCUUCUCUGCAGAGCCUCUCAAGCUCUGUCAGGUUGGAUGGGGAAUGUCGCUGCAUAGCUAUUUUCAGGUCUCUCCAGAGAUGUUCAAGUCUGGGCUCUGGCUAGGCCACUCGAGGAUAUUCAGAUACUUGUCCCGAAGCCAAGACAAUGCAGGAGUAGCUAUGUGCUUAGGGUCAUUGUCCUAUUGGAAGGUGAACCUUUGCUACAGUCUGAGGUCCUGAGCGCUCUGGAGCAGGUUUUCAUCAAGGAUCUCUCUACUUUGCUCCGUUCAUCUUUUACCUGAUCCUGACUAGUCGCCCAGUCCCUGCCACUGAAAAACAUUCCCACAGCAUGAUGCUGUCACGAAAGCUUCAACGUAGGGAUGGUGCCAGGUUUCCUCCAGAUGUGACGGUUGGCAUUCAGGCCAAAUAAUUCAAUCUUGGUUUCAUCAGACCAGAGAACCUUAUUCUUCAUGGUCUGAGAGUCCUUUAGGUGCCUUUUGGCACGCUCCAAGCGGGCUGUCAUGUGCAUUUCACUGAGGAGUGGCUUCCGUCUGGCCACUCUACCAUAAAGGCCUGAUUGGUGGGGUGCUGCAGAUGUUGUCCUGGAAGGUUCUAUCUCCACAGAGGAACUCUGGAGCUCUCAGUGACCAGCGGGUUCUUGGGCCUUGGUCAGGUAGGUGACCUUCCCCGACUGAUCAGUUUGGCCGGGCGGCCAGCUCAAGGAAGAGUCUUGGCGGUUCUAAAUUUCUUCCAUUUAAGAAAGGAGGCCACUGUUUUCUUGAACUUUGGUACCCUUCCCCAGAUCUGUGCCUCGGCACAAUCCUGUCUCGGAGCUCUACGGACAAUUCCUUCGACCUCAUGGCUUGGUUUUUGCUCUGAUGUGCACUGUCAACUGUGGGACCUUGUAUAGAUGUGUGUGUGCCUUUUGCAAAUCAUGCCCAAUCAACUUUACCACAGGUGCCUCAAGUUGUAGAAAAGUCAAGGAUGAUCAAUGGAAACAGGAUGCACCUGAGCUCAAUUGAGUGUCAUAGCAAAGGGUGUAAAUACUUAAGGUAUUUCCGUUUUUAUUUUUCUAAAUUAGCAAACAUUCCUAAAACUUUUUUUGCUGUGCCAUUAUGGGUAUUGUGUAGAUGAAACUCUGUGGAUUCAACAUGGCGAAUGACAACUUCGAGCAUCGAUUUGACUGAGGAAGGUACUUCUGUACCUCCCCAUUACGAUUCUAGCCAUGCAUUAUAUAAAUGCCAAUUCAUGGAGGGAGAUUGCAGAGACGCUUGGGUCCGACCCAACCACUAGUCUGAAAAAGUGGGGUAGGAUUCGUGACGACAAGUUCGUCAAGACAAAGAAAAGAAAGGGCCACAGUGGAGAUUCCGGAGGAAAGGCUUCUCCAGAAAUGUUGCUGCUGGCUUGUUUGGCAUGUGGAGCAUGGGAAGACUGAAAGCAACAUGCCGUCUUCACCAAAGAAUGAGGCUCAAACAUCAGUGAAUGGAGACAGCACCUGGUUUUGUUCUCUGCGCCCAAGCACUACCUCAGUACUGGGGACAGACUGGUCAUCGGCCCCUGCACUAAGCUGCAGUGCAGAAUUAGAAACCAUCUCCAUGCAGGACCUGGCAAGCUCUAUCCUGGGCUCACCUCCAAUACCUGCUCCACUGGCUUGCUCUUCACCGACGCCACAGAGCAGUAGCAGGGGUGAGAAGGGAGAAAAGAGCUGCAGACUAAGCCCUUGACACUUAUGAGACCAGCCACCUGGACAGCUGAUGGAACAGGAGUAUUUCCGUCUGUAAUAAAUCCCUUUUUGAGGGGAAAAACUCAUUCUCAUUGGCUGGGCCUGGCUCCCAAGUGGGUGGGCCUAUGCCCACCCAUGGCAACACCCCUGCCCAGACAUGUUAAAUCUAUAGAUUAAGGCCUAAGGAGUUUUUUAAUUGACAGAUUUUUGUAUGAACAGUAAACCCAGUAAAAUUGUUAAUUGUUGCGUUAAUUUUUGUUCAGUAUAGAAAGAAAAUACACAUUUCCAGGAACCAUAAACUAAGUUAAAUGGAUUCCAACAUUCUAUAAUCAACAUAGCUGGAUAAGGGCGCAUGAGGUUCUCAUGUAGGGGGAAAGCUGCGUCCCCCAGGAAAACAAGGACUUGGCGUUGUGGUACCUGACAAGACAGCUGGUGGUAAAUUGAGGGUCUUCUGUGGCAGUUUGGACCCAAAAGAACUCUUGAAACACUCCACCAUAGCUCUCUAGGCCGUAUGCCCCUACAUCCACCAUUGUGAACCUGUAGCAGGCAUCUUCUGUCUCCGUAUCUUGCCUAUUCAUAUGUUGCUAGGUACAUAAAUCUAGUAGAUCCCGGACAAGUCACACAACUUCCAUUUUGUCACCAGUCAAGCGUCUGUGUACAUUUUUUUUAUUCUCCCGCAAGUCUUUCUUGUUUGUCCAUAGAUGGCUAUUACCAGCUCUUCGCCCUCUACUGUCCUGGAGUAAUAUUGACAAUUGUUUUUGUUUUUCAAGCAAAUGUCUUUUUAGGUAGCAUGCGAGUGCACUCGUUCAGUUUGCCUAGCCGCCAGUCGAACUGAAGCAUGCUAACGCAUUUAGGGCCCCCGGCCGCUAUGAGAUCCUGCUAGGAACUCUGUCUGGGUCUCAACAUUUGGUUGUGCAUCACCAGUUUCAUGUCAGUCACUGACAGUCACUCAAUUAUCCAUGUCAGCUAACAAUUUUUGGAUUGGCAGUUAGUCAAUCCAGCUAUCUAAAGUUGUAGUAAUCAUGGCCAAAUACCGACCGGGCACAUGCCCAGGGGUCCGGACCUCCAGGCCCCCCCCCCCCAUCUUGAUGUUAGUCAUUCUCACUAUCAUAUUAUUAUGUCAUGGCAAAAUGUAUAACAUUUCAGGAAAUUAGCUUUAAUACUGCACAAAAAUAAACUCAAACAAAUGUUUUGACACGGUGGUGGGGCCCCCCCAACCAAAUCUUUCUUAGGGCCAGCGAUAGGCUAGAGCCGGCUCUGUAAAGGAGCCUAAUGUUACCUUAGUCCAAGGGCCUUACAUGUUCUGUUUUAAAGGAUGGCUCUGGAAGCCACAAACCCCAAAUACUCCAUCUAAACGUGAAUCUAUUCACAAUUGUGAUACGGUUCUAGAAACAUAAUUACCUCUACUUUCAUAUCACAUAAGUAAUUUCACAAUUCAAAAUACAAACUUACGGUACACUGUUUUAACUGUUGCAGCCGACACUUUUUCAGUGACAUGUUUUGUGGCGUCUGUAUCGUUUAUACACAGGUGUUUGGAGAUGCAGAUAGCUAAUUAGCACAGGUAGUCUACUCAGUCUUCCGUCUGUUUUCCGUAAACAAGCGCUGUAACAUGGAAAUAUAGCUGUGUGGGAACCCUAAUCCUAUAAAGGUGUGUAUCAAUUUAACCAUUUUGUUUUUAUAAAAUUAUUUCUCACUGAUAUGAAAUAAGGUCCGUACGCUUCCAAAACCGUACCACAAGCGAUACGUGUUAAUGUUUGACCGAUCAUCGCGGGUCUUAACAAAACAGCCCCAUACAGAAAACACAUUUUGUCCUAUGACUCGUGUGUAACGUAGUGGAACUGACAGUCAUGAUCAAGGCUACGCUGAACAUAUAAUUACAUGGUUUAUUUUGUAUCUCUGACAGCGUUAACUUAAAAACAAAGUUGACUACAAACAAAGUUGCCAAUGUCUUUGCAAUUGAUACAAACAAGCGGCGUAUAAAAAGAUGUGCCGAUUGGGUAAGCAUUAAAAUAAGCCGCUUCAAUAUUUACAACCGUAGGUGGUAGAUAACCCUCUAGGAGCUGAUCCGUCGUCAAUGAAAUAAUGUUAAGGUAAGAUUUGAAUGGAGAAGGUUGAUCCAAGAGCAGCACUCCCUUUCUUUCGAUCCUAUCAUUAUCGACACAUGCUCCAACAAAACACUUAGAGCUCGUUCUCUCUGGGUGGUGUUAUGGGUAACAUGGAAAGAUUUUGGUUUCAGUUUUAUUAGUUGAUAAUGUCACUUUGGGGUCAUAGGGCACUCCAGUCCCAAAUACUGUAUGUUCUAAACAAAUUGUGACACUACUGUGAAUCAUGGAUACAGCUACACCAAAUAUGAUUAGGUUUCCUGUUUUAUGGUUACACCAUAUUGGUGUUGAUAAAUUGUGUGCCUCUGCUUCAACGUCUUCAAAUGAAAAAGGUGAAAUAAUAACCAAACAUUUUAGUAAAUUGCUUCAUUUUCUAUUCAGUGUCCUGUGUGAAGGUACUUAAGGUGUUCACUGACAGAAAGCAGCCAUGUCGUCAACAUCCCAGAAACACAAAGAGUUUGUGGCAGAACCCAUGGGGGAGAAGCCAGUCAAUGCACUUGCUGGCAUUGGAGAGGUGCUUGGCAAGAGACUGGAGGAGAAGGGCUUCGACAAGGUGAUGCAGAGUUUACUUAACUUUGUUGGAACUUUCAUAAUGGAACUUUUGUUUUGUGAAUUUCUACAUUUUAGGCAUGUCAUAGUAAGUACAGCAAAGUCAAGAAGACAAUGCAGUUGUGCAACUUUUACCAAGUGUUUAGGUUAGUGUAUUGUCAUUCAUGUUCUCUUACACUUUUCCUACUCCAUUCUCAUUUGCAUACAUCUACAGGCCUAUGUGGUCCUGGGUCAGUUCCUGGUGCUGAAGAAGGAUGAGGAGCUAUUCCGGGACUGGCUGAAAGACUCAUGCGGGGCCAAUGUCAAACAGCAGGGUGAUUGCUAUGGCUGUCUGCGUGAAUGGUGUGAUUCUUUCCUGUAGAGAAGGUUUUGUUUUUUCCCGUUUUAUAUAACGUUAUCCCAAACAUCUAUUUACUUGUGGUCUCACAUUAAAUUUCACCUCAUAUGGGAACACUGCACAUGAGGCAGUUAAGCAAAGUCAUACAUUGUAACACCUGGUUAUUUUAUACUAGAGUCACAAUUCAGAGACCUAUGGAUGCUUAAAAAUUAGUAAGACGUACCUUGCUGCAGUCAUCCAUGGGGUUGUUUCACCCAACUGUGUAGAUCCGUAAUCCUGACCUUUCCUAUGAUUUAAUAUCUUUGGCCGUACAGAAGCCUUGGAUGAGUUAAUUUGUUUUCCUGCACUUUAUAUUUCAAUUUUGUUCUGUCAAAUAACCACUUUUUAUAAUUACUAUCCCUUCAUAAAGUUAUAACUAAUGCUUGUACUUAUCUCCAACUUUCUGACAGUUUGCCCCUGCAUUUAUUUAAAUGAACUUGUCGCUAAAUUAAUUAGUAGCAUUUUAAACCAUUUGACACCACAUGGCUUUUAUAUCUAUAAGAUGUUGCACUGUUAAUUUUACAUCUGAGUUUACAGGAAGCAGUUUUAAGAUUUACAUUUGUAAUUGCUCCAUGUUAUCUUAUGUGUUUGUUUUAAGAGAUGUUGAAGGAAUGCCUUAACGUUGUAAUGCAAAAGCAACAUUUAUCUGCAAUGUACCUUGAGUUGUGGAGCAGUGCAUGCGGAUUAAGAAGCUAGCUACUACAAAUCACCUCAUUUUCAAUCUUCACACAAAUGAAAGCCUGACGUAAAACCACAGUAAGUAGCACUGUUUCAGGAAUUAAUUUAUGAGCAUACUUGUGUUGCUCUCUGUUUAAUCGUUGAAGGAUGGUUUUACUGAAACACUGGUUCAUGUUUUUGCAUAUUGACUGUGAAAGCAUGUUUUUAUAUUUUUCUUUUGAAAGAAACAACUGCAAGAUCUGGACAAUUCUGACUUUGUUUUGUUUUUUGAAAAAAAUAAUAAUAAUAAAUUACAUGCAAAAAUAUUUUGGUGACAGGAGUAUUUAAUUUUGUCUUUGAUUCCCAAGUCCCCUUUUAUUCAAAGCUCUUAAUUUGCUUUGGUAAGAAAUAUUGACAGUAAAGGUUUAAGGAACACUGAUCUAAAAAUAGUAAUAACAUUUCUGAACUUGAUCAGAUAAGCAACCAAAAAAACUGGUCUCAAAGAAAACCAUACAAAUCGCUGUUAUGUAUUUAUUAAAUGUACUGCUUAUUUUUGUUAAUGUCAUAUAGCCUUAGACAUCCACUUGACAAAUUAAACCACUUAUUUAUCAAAACAACAUUGAUCAUUGUUAUUGGAAACCCGUCAUUAUAGACCGCUGAUCUUGUUAAGGCGGCUGACCACCUCUUGUACAUACAGCGCCAGUGGAAUUAUUUGGGUUAGUGUGUAUUGACUUGUCCUCUUACUGUCCUACUGGUCCACAGUGGCGCCUACACCUCACGCACAUUUCUGCAACAGCUUAAAGUGACAUACAGGACUUUCAACACAUCACACACAAUUAUUAUUUUUUUAACAAACUCAGAUUAGGCAAUGACUAGUGUGUAUUAAAAGUUCCAAAUAAUUACAAUUCAUGUGUAGUUGUCACCCCUCCAUCUAUUUGAAAAAUGAGAUAGGACUAUGAGCUGUUUUACAUAUGUAUAUCCACUUUUAUGUUGUGCUACAGUUCAUGAUUCUAUAAGGUUCAAUGUGUUUUAAGUAUGUAUACGCAUAACUCCAAAUAUAUUUUAAUGGUUGUUUAUGUAGAUCUACUUUAAAUGUAAAUUUUGGUUGAAUUAGUCUUGAUUUUACUUAGGAGAAUAUGUACAUAUGCAGCCUUUCAUAAGAUAAAGCAGGCUACAUGAAUAAGUUAUAUUUAGCUUUGUGUAUGUGGUGAAUGCAUGUACAUUGAGUAUACAAAACAUUAAGAACACCUGCUCUUUCCAUGACAGACUGACCAGGUGAAAGCUAUGAUCCAUUGUUGAUGUCACUUGUUAAAUCCACUUCAAUCAGUGUGUAGAUGAAGGGGAUGAGACCGGUUAAAGAGAGAAUUGAGACAUAGAUUGUGUAUGUAUGCCAUUUAGAAGGUGAAAGGGCAAGACAAAAAGUUCCUUUGAACUGGAUAUGGUAGUAGGUGCCAUGCACACCAGUUUGUGUCAAGAACUGCAACGCUGUUGGGUUUUUCACGCUCAACAGUUUCCCGUGUGUAUCAAGGGUGGUCCACCAUCUGAAGGACAUCUAACCAACUUGACACAACUCUGGAAAGCAUUGUAGUCAACAUGGGCCAGCAUUUGUGGAGAAUGCUUUCGACACCUUGUAGAGUCCAUGCCCUGACGAAUUAAGGCUGUUCUGAGUGCAGGGGGCGGGUGCGUGCAACUCAAUAUUAGGAAGAUGUUCCUAAUGUUUGGUAUACUCAGUGUACGUUAUGUUCUGUCUGGACAGUGUUUUUCCCAACCAUCCUGUGGUUUGUCUCAAAGGAGUGCACAGAAGAACUUCUUCUCCCUGAAUGGGUUCUCUGAGGUGGGCACAGGGGUGAUGAGGGGGUCCUCAAUGGCGUGGGCAUCACAGUAUGCCAUCAGGUCUGCAGCCGCUUUUGAUACCUG
Molecule: long non-coding RNA, 10882 nt
Filed under: Salmo salar (Atlantic salmon)
Lineage: Eukaryota; Metazoa; Chordata; Actinopteri; Salmoniformes; Salmonidae
Description: lncRNA (ENSSSAG00000093654.1)
Source: RNAcentral